CACAUCUUUGAUGUGACCUACAAUAUUAUGUCUGGACCAUCUGCCUGAAUAAUUUUGGGGGUGAAACUUGGAAGACUGUAUUAUGAACACUGAGAUUAUUACUCAUCCAUGGACCAGCAUGGAUACUGGAUCUUAGUUGGAAACAUAACCCAAAGAGGCCUCGAGUGCAGUUUCUUCUUCUUUCCAGAUUGGGACAAAAAAUGGAUAGGGGAAUUCCUUCUCCUCCCAGCUCAUCUUGGAUGAACAGCACCAUCCUUUUAGAUCUUUAAUCUACUAUGUUCUCAUCAAAAGGCUUGGCUCUUCUACAACUUCUUUCUGGCUCAUUAGAAUGCAGUAUUCCAUCAGUCACUGUGAACAAUGACAUCCUUCAAAGAGCUUCUAGAAGGAGUCUUACAGGGACGUCGUUAUGUACGCUUCAGAUAUUUACUCCUGUGGCAGAUCCCUACUGUUACUGGAAAUAUAGAUUUCCAACAACUAUGACUUUGAAUUUGGAUAGAUCAACCUUUGGAUAAUAUUUUGCUUCUCAUGACUAUGGAAGCAUUUCCUUCAAGCAUUAAAAUUAGAAGACGAUAACACGGAGCACACCUUACUCAGUAAAAAGAUGUGGGAUACAAGGUCAUAUGCCAUUCCUCAGAGACAGAUGUAAAUUAUGUGUGAUGCUUUGUAAGAAGUUAAGCCAAGGUUUAGCAUUAAUUGACCUUAAAUUUUCUACAUUAGAAAAAUUAUCUUAAUUAUGAUAUUCAUUUCCUUCUCCUGUAGAGAAAUGCACAUCAAUUGCUGGCUUCUCACUCUCUGCUACUGAGACUCUGAAAAAUAAAUAAUAAUCACUGUACUUCUUACUCCAUUCCUCAGCUGUCUUUCUGAUUUUAUUGUGUGUAGUAAAACUUUAAUUUUGGUCAAGAGUAAACAAACAGGUACUAGAGAAGAAAUACUGUGGUUUGUUUUAGCCAUAAUUUGUAAACAAAGCAUUUAUAGUCUCUUCCAUAUAUAAUAAUAGGCCAGAAACUCUGGUUCAUAAAUUAAAGUGGCUGGUUCAUGUAUCACACUAAAGUAAAACCAUAUAAAUCAUAUUAUAGUUUAACGUGAUAUCUGAACUCAAUCCAAGGCUACAAUAUCUGGACUAUGGAAGUUGGAUGACCUGUAGGUGACAGCAAAGAGAUACAGGAAAUUAAUAGCUGCUUUUAGUGGCUAUUCUGACAUUUGCAGACCCGAUAUGGAAGCCCUAAACCCAUCCAAUGGUUGCACUAGGUUUUCCCAACCAGAUGUUCUCCAGAUAGGCACUCUUCCUUCCUUUGGCUAUGCUGGCUGGGUGGUACCAGGCUGAAGAUGUCUUGUCUGUUCUGCUUGUGGUACCUUGGAGUACUUAAAGAUAUUGGAUACCAUUUCCAUCUUGUAACCCUAACCUAA
Molecule: non-coding RNA, 1407 nt
Organism: Python bivittatus (Burmese python)
Lineage: Eukaryota; Metazoa; Chordata; Lepidosauria; Squamata; Pythonidae
Source: RefSeq, a predicted model, not a curated record